RNAcentral lists this ribosomal RNA (420 nucleotides) under uncultured Glomeromycotina. Its description in RNAcentral is "bacterial SSU rRNA". It matches the Rfam family "Eukaryotic small subunit ribosomal RNA", at positions 569 to 991 of the family's 1831-position model. The record is from RNAcentral. Lineage: Eukaryota; Fungi; Glomeromycota.
AGCAGCCGCGGUAAUUCCAGCUCCAAUAGCGUAUAUUAAAGUUGUUGCAGUUAAAAAGCUCGUAGUUGAACCUUAGGCCCGUGCGGGCGGUCCGUCCUCUGGGCGAGCACUGCCUCGUCGCGGGUCUCACCUUCUGGCGAGCGUGGAUGCCAUUCAUUUGGUGUCUGCGGGAACCAGGACCUUUACCUUGAAAAAUUAGAGUGCUCAAAGCGGGCUCUUACGCUUGAAUACAUUAGCAUGGAAUAAUGAAAUAGGACGACGGUUCUAUUUUGUUGGUUUCCGGGAUUGUCGUAAUGAUUAAUAGGGAUAGUUGGGGGCAUUCGUAUUCAAUUGUCAGAGGUGAAAUUCUUGGAUUUAUUGAAGACGGACUACUGCGAAAGCAUUUGCCAAGGAUGUUUUCAUUAAUCAAGAACGAAAGUU